Manis pentadactyla (Chinese pangolin) is the source of this 332-nucleotide long non-coding RNA. RefSeq lists it as uncharacterized. NCBI's taxonomy places the organism in Eukaryota, Metazoa, Chordata, Mammalia, Pholidota, Manidae. The record is from RefSeq and is a predicted model, not a curated record. The transcript is spliced from 3 exons.
GGCCUACAACGUGACCUCCGGGAAGGAUGACUCAGUUCUCCUCACCUGCCCACCCCCGAGUUGAGUGAAGGCACUGUACUGGGUAUUGGGCAUGCAAUGGUUGGAAAACUCUCAUCCUGCCUCGAGAGACUCAAAAUUAGUAUGAGCACCUUCCUGUUUACUAUUAUCAGAAAUGCCACUUGAAUUUCUCCUAAGAUUAAAAAGGUAAUUAUAACUAUCUGUUUAUUUCCCUGUCACUGGCUCCCUGUGACCUUCAGAACUGAGAUCACUAAAACCCUAGGGGUUCAGCCUUAAGCAACGUCUUAGAUUAGGUUGGUCAUCCAGUACUUGGG